Molecule: unclassified non-coding RNA, 250 nt
Filed under: plant metagenome
Description: partial contains small subunit ribosomal RNA, internal transcribed spacer 1, and 5.8S ribosomal RNA
Source: RNAcentral
GUAGGUGAACCUGCGGAAGGAUCAUUAACACGUAUCCACGUUAAAUCCCCCGUGCACCUUCAUUCACAGGUACGUCGAUCCGCUUAACUGUGGCUCCGGCCUGUGUUGUGUCUCAUUGGCUAAAACAGUGAUUCAUGGGCUCAGCGCUACAUGGCUUUGCGUAUUGAUUGGGUUUCUUUUGGGAGAAGAUGGAAGAGACGACAUUGUCACGCCGUUCUGAGCCGGUGGUGCUGUUCUUAUGGUACACAGU